This 82-nucleotide transfer RNA is filed under the name Danio rerio (zebrafish). Its description in RNAcentral is "tRNA-Leu (AAG) (tRNA-Leu-AAG-109-1)". It matches the Rfam family "tRNA". Rfam says of the family: Transfer RNA (tRNA) molecules are approximately 80 nucleotides in length. Their secondary structure includes four short double-helical elements and three loops (D, anti-codon, and T loops). The record is from Rfam by way of RNAcentral. Lineage: Eukaryota; Metazoa; Chordata; Actinopteri; Cypriniformes; Danionidae.
GGUAGCGUGGCCGAGCGGUCUAAGGCGCUGGAUUAAGCUUCCAGUCUGUUCGGUGGCGUGGGUUCGAAUCCCACCGCUGCCA